AGGCAGGAAUUUCAAGGCUUUUCGUCAGCGUCAGAACCGAAAGCCGAUUUCUCUAUCGAUCUGAGAGAGAAAUCCUGAAGUGUCCAGGAAUGUUUUGCCAGAUGACGCUCGAGUGAAGGAAGGCGCUCGGCAACAACAAAAGUGGAGAGACAAUUUGCGGCGAUGGGAUUCUUCGGACCGAGACGGGAGCGAUAAAAUCCGGGAGUAGAACACGGGGCGUAAUUGAUUCCGAAGCGCUCGGGUGAAUGCUAAUGUGUGGAGGGAGCGAUGCAAUUAGGGCUGAAAGACAUCGGCCAUUAGUUUAGAACAAAAACACGGGAGGUACGGCUGAAAAACUGGUUUAUAGCGAGAGGCAAAAGGCUUUGUCACGGAAUGGAAUAGUGUGUUUGUGAAAGCUGGUUGAUUUAUACACGUUACAAAAUCUAAAGAGCAAGAUAUUCGUUUAGAAAUAAAGGUGUUCUGAUAAACGAAGCCACAACGGACAUUUUAAGCUUUUUGUUUUGGUCCUGAUGCAAAACGUGGCAGCGAUACGAGACUGGAUUUGUGAUUCAGGAGAAAGCAAAAGCCAGAAAGGACUCCCCAAUGAAAGAGUGGACAAGACUUUAGCGAAAUCCUGAAAGAUUCUUGUCAAAAUCAAGCAAGAGAGUGUAGUUUGGACACUCUGUAAGAUUUGGAGCAGGAGUAACACUUUGAGGACGUGUUUAAGGAGGAGGAGCCGAGCUGUUGUUCCCGUGACGGAGGGAGGGAGGAAAGGAUGGAUGUGUGUGAGAUGUGGAGAUGUUGAGAUGCUGGGGAUCGCUGUGAAGGUGGAGGGAGAAUGGCCUGACGGAUCUAGAUGUGAAGCGGAGAGCGGCUUGUUUUUUUUAGGAUGACGGGACAUGUUUAAACAUCGAUAAGAUGUGCGAGUGACGAUGGGGCGCACGCUGCUGACUCCGGACGACGUGCGGGCGCUGGAGGUGAAGGAGGAGCAGGAGGAAUCCAUCCUGGCCAUGUUGGGGAUCGUGGGAACCUUCCUCAACCUGUUCGUCAUCGUCUUCGUUUACAUCUACACCACGCUAUGACCACGACCCACCACUACAACAUUACAACUACUGCUGAGGAAACCCGCCUGUGGGCUGCAGAUGUUACACCUCAACCAAACCAGGAACGAACCAGAACUUUCUCCAGAGUAAAACGCUCCAGUACAUUUCCAGUAAAGGCUGCAAAGUUUCUUAUUUAAACUGAGCACUUGAGGAAUUACUUUGACAGAGCGACUCCUACUUUUAUCAGGGAAAUAUUUGACCAGGAGUAUGAGUACUUUCCCUCGACCAUCACUGCAGUUAUCCAAGACAGAUGAAGACGAAACAUGGAGUUCUUUAGACUCUUCCUUAAACACAAUUCCAGACACUCUCCUGAAAGGUUCAUGACAUUUAUAUUAUAUCCAGCGUCGUCGAACACAAAACAAGCAGCAAAAUGGAUUAAUUAGACGCUACAAAUGCGAGAUAUCGGUUUGAAAACAAUCCAUCGAACAGGAAUGAGGGGAAUCUCGAUAUUCAAAGAAAAUCGGAAACGAAUCUGCAGCUUUUGAGUAGACACUGUGAAGGAGGACAGAGAUCGUAACGUCUGGCCAUGAAGAUCUGCGGCUUCUGUCGGGCGCAGACGGACUUUUAUUGUGAAGGGGAAGAGUGCUUUUAUUGUGAAGGGGAAGCCAUUUGCCGGAGCCACGACCCAGGGAGAUAACAGCGACUCCUGAGAUAUUUACAUAAACGGUUUGUGUCGAAACGUGACUUGUAUUUAACACCAACUGUGUCUGUUUAAUACUAACCAUCGCUAAUAAAUAACCUAUUUUUCAAUCUACAAACGGGAAGUGAAUCUACUGCAGAGUUUUUAAACAUCUGUACUUUACUCGAGUAGUAUUUGUGUUGAGAACGAUUUCUGCUGCACGACAUUUCCAUAAAGUCCAUUUGUUCAUGUGUCAUAAUGCGAUUCCAGUAAUUGGUUUUCGAUACUAAAAUAUUUCUCGUCUAGAACCAGGAAACUGAACAAUAACGUGUGGAGGAUCAGCAAAUGUACAAUGAUGGGUUCAUCUCCAAUGUAAAGAAAUGUGUGAAAAAUAAUGGGGAAUAAUUUGGGAGAAUUUGGGGCAAAAUUAAGGAAAAGUGUGUAAAAAAAACUUGUAGAAAUGAGUCAAAACAGGGAAAGAAAUUUGGAAUAAAUUGGGGGGAAAUGUGUUUAAAGGGGGGGUAUUAUGUAAAAUGGACUUUUUCAAGCUUUAUAUCAUGUUAUUAUGUCAUUCCCUCAUUAAACACAUGCCUGGAGUGUUGCCUUGGCUCAUUCACAUAUUUUUGAGUAAUCAGUAAAAACUUAGACGGCAGCCAUUUUAGGUGUAGCUAUGCCUCAGUCCUCCUAGGAACGCCCCCACCUCCUGGA
This 2409-nucleotide long non-coding RNA is filed under the name Neogobius melanostomus (round goby). Its description in RNAcentral is "lncRNA (ENSNMLG00000021449.1)". The record is from RNAcentral. Lineage: Eukaryota; Metazoa; Chordata; Actinopteri; Gobiiformes; Gobiidae.